RNAcentral lists this long non-coding RNA (352 nucleotides) under Mytilus galloprovincialis (Mediterranean mussel). The record is from RNAcentral. Lineage: Eukaryota; Metazoa; Mollusca; Bivalvia; Mytilida; Mytilidae.
CGCUAAAAUUAUUCAUGUGUUAUUAAAAUUGAUAGAGAACAUUUUUUGGGGGGAAAAGGAGGAGCCGGGCUAGAAAAACAAUUGUCCUGUCCCAAAGUACCUAUGACUUUUGAUACCUUUUCUGAAAUUUUCCAGUCUUUAAAUCCUUUACAUAAAUUCAUUGAUUACAAAAAAAAAGAUGUGGUAUGAUUGCCAAUGAGACAGCUCUCCAUAAGAGACCAAAAAUGACACCGAAAUUAACAACUAUAGGUCCCCUUACGGCCUUCAACAAUGAGCAAAGUCAAUACCCAUAGUCAGAUAUAAAAGGCCACGAAAUGACAAUGUAAAACAAUUCAAAUGAGAAAACUAACGG